This 408-nucleotide ribosomal RNA is filed under the name uncultured bacterium. RNAcentral's name for it is "partial 16S ribosomal RNA". It matches the Rfam family "Bacterial small subunit ribosomal RNA", at positions 28 to 526 of the family's 1533-position model. The record is from RNAcentral.
GACGAACGCUGGCGGCGUGCUUAACACAUGCAAGUCGAACGAAGUGGCGAAAGGGUGAGUAACGCGUAAACAACCUGCCCUUCAGAGGGUGACAACAGUUAGAAACGACUGCUAAUACCGAAUACUUAAGGUGGGGAGUGCGUCUGGGUAGCUAGUUGGCGGGGUAACGGCCCACCAAGGCGAUGAUCAGUAGCCGGUCUGGGAGGAUGAACGGCCACAUUGGGACUGGGACACGGCCCAGACUCCUACGGGAGGCAGCAGUGGGGAAUCUUCCGCAAUGGACGAAAGUCUGACGGAGCAACGCCGCGUGAGUGAUGACGGCCUUCGGGUUGUAAAGCUCUGUUAAUCGGGACGCGGUACCGGAAUAGAAAGCCACGGCUAACUACGUGCCAGCCGCCGCGGUAAUUC